This 491-nucleotide ribosomal RNA is filed under the name uncultured bacterium. Its description in RNAcentral is "partial 16S ribosomal RNA". It matches the Rfam family "Bacterial small subunit ribosomal RNA", at positions 28 to 507 of the family's 1533-position model. The record is from RNAcentral.
AUUGAACGCUGGCGGCAUGCUUUACACAUGCAAGUCGAACGGUAACAGGCCUUCGGGUGCUGACGAGUGGCGAACGGGUGAGUAAUGCAUCGGAACGUGCCCAGAGGUGGGGGAUAACGCAGCGAAAGCUGUGCUAAUACCGCAUGUGAUCUGAGGAUGAAAGCGGGGGACCAGGCAGCAAUGUUUGGCCUCGCGCCUUUGGAGCGGCCGAUGUCAGAUUAGGUAGUUGGUGGGGUAAAGGCCUACCAAGCCGACGAUCUGUAGCUGGUCUGAGAGGACGACCGGCCCAAUGGGACUGAGGCCCGGCCCCGACUCCUACCGGAGGCCGGCGUGGGGAAUUUUUGACAAUUGGCGGAAGCCUGAUCCAGCAAUGGCGGGUGGGGGAAGGAGGCCUUCGGGUUGGUAAACCGUUUUGUACGGAACGAAAAGGCUCUGGCUAAUACCUGGGGCUGAUGACGGUACCGUAAGAAUAAGCACCGGCUAACUACGUG